This 601-nucleotide long non-coding RNA is filed under the name Sinocyclocheilus anshuiensis. RNAcentral describes it as "lncRNA (ENSSANG00000047272.1)". The record is from RNAcentral. Lineage: Eukaryota; Metazoa; Chordata; Actinopteri; Cypriniformes; Cyprinidae.
CCGAAGUGAAGUAAACUUCAACGGAUUUCCCCUGCUCAGGGAAUAGGGAGCAAUGGACACUGUGUAGGGACCAUGUCAAUCGGAACACAGUUCAUGCACGGAGCUCACUUCUAACGAGAUGAUGAUCUGAAUCAGGUGUGUUAACAAAGAGAGACAUGCAAAACAUGCAGAGCGGGGGUACGCGAGGACUGGAAUUGAGAACCGCUGGUAUAAUACACCCGUCCUCUUGUUCACUCUUUAAAGUGUUUGUAUUUGUAUUUGGUGUUCCUUAAUGAAAAAAGGAUAUGAAUAAUCGAGAAAUGGGAUAAGAAAUACCGACAUUCGUACCGCAUAAUGGGCAGAUUCUGACAGAUUUGUAAUGACAGGCUGUUGAUGUAACACUUGACUGCAAAAUUUUGAAGGGGGAGCAGCAGUGCCGGGCCACUGGAACACACGGGAUCAGUGAUUCACGAAAGAGCUGUCGCACUGGGCCGGAGCUGCGUGAGGGAUUGCACAUGCUGGAGACGGCCACGCUGUGUAUAUCUUUGUGUGCUUUUGCUGCUUCUUUGGCACUUUUGUAUGUGUCUGUGCUUCACAAACCUGAAGAUAAUAGGAAAGUAAA